GGUUGUGGCACAGUGGCAGAGCACCUGCCUAGCAGGCAUGAGGUACUGGGUUCGAUCCUCAGCACCA
Molecule: transfer RNA, 67 nt
Filed under: Marmota monax (woodchuck)
Lineage: Eukaryota; Metazoa; Chordata; Mammalia; Rodentia; Sciuridae
Description: tRNA.Ala
Source: RNAcentral